RNAcentral lists this ribosomal RNA (245 nucleotides) under uncultured bacterium. RNAcentral describes it as "partial small subunit ribosomal RNA". It matches the Rfam family "Bacterial small subunit ribosomal RNA", at positions 26 to 285 of the family's 1533-position model. The record is from RNAcentral.
AGAAUCAACGCUGGCGGCGUGCCUAACACAUGCAAGUCGAACGAGAAAGUGGAGCAAUCCAUGAGUAAAGUGGCGCACGGGUGAGUAACACGUGACUAACCUACCUUUUAGUGGGGGAUAACCUAGGGAAACCUGGGCUAAUACCGCAUAAUACCUACGGGUCAAAGCAGCAAUGCGCUGGAAGAGGGGGUCGCGGUCGAUUAGUUAGUUGGCAGGGUAAUGGCCCACCAAGACAGUGAUCUGUA